UUCCACCCCACCUUGUUGACGAUGUUUGGCUAAACACUUUAGAAGACAUUAGAGAAACUGAAAACAUACCUGCUACAAGUUCAUUUACAGAUUACGUGACAGAAUUUUUGGUUGAAAACUACCGCUUUCUAUGGAACCACUAUUACACAGAAGGACCCCGCACCAUGCACAAAUCACCUGGAAGGAUGGCACAACAAACAUAAGAAGCGACUCAAACACGCCCACCCAAACAUCUACGAGAUCAUUGAGCUACUGAAGAAGACAAAAGCACUAACAGAAUGCAACAUUAUCCAGUAUGCAGCAGGAGGAACCCGCUCACCUUAAAGACGACCAUACAGAGUAAUAGACACCAGACUCGUAUACAAAUACCAACAAGGACCCAUCAACGUAGUAGAUUACUCUGACG
RNAcentral lists this long non-coding RNA (406 nucleotides) under Mytilus galloprovincialis (Mediterranean mussel). Lineage: Eukaryota; Metazoa; Mollusca; Bivalvia; Mytilida; Mytilidae. The record is from RNAcentral.